Molecule: ribosomal RNA, 297 nt
Filed under: uncultured bacterium
Lineage: Bacteria
Description: partial 16S ribosomal RNA
Rfam family: Archaeal small subunit ribosomal RNA
Source: RNAcentral
UCCUAGCAGUAAACGAUGCGGGCUAGGUGUUGGGGCGGCUACGAGCCGCUUCAGUGCCGCAUGGAAACAGUUAAGCCCGCCGCCUGGGAAGUACGGCCGCAAGGCUGAAACUUAAAGGAAUUGGCGGGGGAGCACCACAAGGGGUGAAGCUUGCGGUUUAAUUGGAGUCAACACCGGAAAGGGAACUGCAAUUCACGCUGUUUCCCUGGAGACCUUACCGGGGGCGACAGCAGGGUGAAGGCCAGAUUGAAGGUCUUGCUGGACGAGCUGAGAGGAGGUGCAUGGCCGUCGCCAGUU